RNAcentral lists this ribosomal RNA (680 nucleotides) under Salmonella enterica subsp. enterica serovar Infantis. RNAcentral describes it as "partial 23S ribosomal RNA". It matches the Rfam family "Bacterial large subunit ribosomal RNA", at positions 711 to 1387 of the family's 2925-position model. The record is from RNAcentral. RNAcentral also lists the same sequence under 1 other name. Lineage: Bacteria; Pseudomonadati; Pseudomonadota; Gammaproteobacteria; Enterobacterales; Enterobacteriaceae.
AGACCCGAAACCCGGUGAUCUAGCCAUGGGCAGGUUGAAGGUUGGGUAACACUAACUGGAGGACCGAACCGACUAAUGUUGAAAAAUUAGCGGAUGACCUGUGGCUGGGGGUGAAAGGCCAAUCAAACCGGGAGAUAGCUGGUUCUCCCCGAAAGCUAUUUAGGUAGCGCCUCGUGAAUUCAUCUCCGGGGGUAGAGCACUGUUUCGGCUAGGGGGCCAUCCCGGCUUACCAACCCGAUGCAAACUGCGAAUACCGGAGAAUGUUAUCACGGGAGACACACGGCGGGUGCUAACGUCCGUCGUGAAGAGGGAAACAACCCAGACCGCCAGCUAAGGUCCCAAAGUCAUGGUUAAGUGGGAAACGAUGUGGGAAGGCCCAGACAGCCAGGAUGUUGGCUUAGAAGCAGCCAUCAUUUAAAGAAAGCGUAAUAGCUCACUGGUCGAGUCGGCCUGCGCGGAAGAUGUAACGGGGCUAAACCAUGCACCGAAGCUGCGGCAGCGACACUCAGGUGUUGUUGGGUAGGGGAGCGUUCUGUAAGUCUGCGAAGGUGGCCUGUGAGGGUUGCUGGAGGUAUCAGAAGUGCGAAUGCUGACAUAAGUAACGAUAAAGCGGGUGAAAAGCCCGCUCGCCGGAAGACCAAGGGUUCCUGUCCAACGUUAAUCGGGGCAGGGUGAGUCGA